GGGUCAGUAGGUUGGUCGUGCCACCGGUACGUGCUGGUCUCACUGAUUCCUCCUUCCUGAAGAACCGUAAUGCCAUUAAUUUGGUGUUGCGGGGAAACAGGACUGUUACUUUGAAAAAAUUAGAGUGUUUAAAGCAAGCUAACGCUUGAAUACAUUAGCAUGGAAUAAUGAAAUAGGACGAACGAUCCUAUUUUGUUGGUUUCUAGGAUUGACGUAAUGAUUAAUAGGGAUUGUUGUG
Molecule: ribosomal RNA, 238 nt
Filed under: Glomeromycotina sp.
Lineage: Eukaryota; Fungi; Glomeromycota
Description: partial small subunit ribosomal RNA
Rfam family: Eukaryotic small subunit ribosomal RNA (bases 40-238)
Source: RNAcentral